This is a long non-coding RNA of Homo sapiens (human), 854 nucleotides long. Ensembl annotates it as Pvt1 oncogene. Its record names the gene PVT1. The record is from Ensembl. NCBI's taxonomy places the organism in Eukaryota, Metazoa, Chordata, Mammalia, Primates, Hominidae.
GUACCCCUUGUGGGCAGGCACCACGGCAGCCUGCUCUGAAGGGAGCUUUCAUGUGGCCGACCAACUCUACUCCUUGACUCCUCCCUUCUCUCAUUGAAAAAAAAUGUUUAAGGGGACAUUUCUCUCUCCUAAACUUUUUAUGUUCCAUUGAAGACCUGGAAAACAUGUUAAAUAAAAAUGCUUUGCCACAGCUGACCUAUGUCUUCUGGCUUGUACCCCACAACAUCUUAUCUAAUGGAGCCAGUCUUGGUGCUCUGUGUUCACCUGGUUCAUCUGAGGAGCUGCAUCUACCCUGCCCAUGCCAUAGAUCCUGCCCUGUUUGCUUCUCCUGUUGCUGCUAGUGGACAUGAGGUAACCACAGCCUAGUUCUGUGAUAAGCUCUUCACACCUGUACCCAUAUGGACUGUGGGAGAGUUUCUCUGAUAUGGACUGUGAUGCGGAAGGACAGAAUAACGGGCUCCCAGAUUCACAAGCCCCACCAAGAGGAUCACCCCAGGAACGCUUGGAGGCUGAGGAGUUCACUGAGGCUACUGCAUCUUGAGACUCAGGAUGAAGACCCAGCUUGGGGCUGUCAAAGGUUUUUUGCAUGUCUGACACCCAUGACUCCACCUGGACCUUAUGGCUCCACCCAGAAGCAAUUCAGCCCAACAGGAGGACAGCUUCAACCCAUUACGAUUUCAUCUCUGCCCCAACCACUCAGCAGCAAGCACCUGUUACCUGUCCACCCCCACCCCUUCCCCCAAACUGCCUUUGAAAAAUCCCUAACCUAUGAGCUUUGAAUAAGAUGAGUACGAACUUCAUCGCCCACGUGGCGUGGCCGGCCUCGUGUCUAUUAAAUUCUUUUUCUACUACAA